UGGCUCUCCAUUCGAGGGUAA
RNAcentral lists this non-coding RNA (21 nucleotides) under Caenorhabditis elegans. The record is from RNAcentral. Lineage: Eukaryota; Metazoa; Nematoda; Chromadorea; Rhabditida; Rhabditidae.